RNAcentral lists this unclassified non-coding RNA (332 nucleotides) under Hevea brasiliensis (rubber tree). The record is from RNAcentral. Lineage: Eukaryota; Viridiplantae; Streptophyta; Magnoliopsida; Malpighiales; Euphorbiaceae.
UUUUUUUUUUUUUUUUUUAAGCACAUGGCAAUCCAAUGAACCUUCUCAUGAUCAAAAUGCCAAAAAGGCAAUUCCAAGAAUCAGUGCUUAUAAUGCACAAUUGAUAUAAUAUGAAUUUGAAAAGUCUACUAGGUGAACCAGCCCCAAACUAGUAUCAGAUAAAUGGUAGAUGUGCAAAGUGCACAUUGUAUUCAUCCAGACAUAAACAUCAUAAGUGAACGUGAUGCAAUAUUGAAAGAAGACUCAACUUAGGAAUUAUAUUCAUUAUACAAUUAGAAAGUUUAUAUUUCUAUAAUUUAGAAAUUUUACUAUUAUUUAGGAAUAUUUAUAGA